This 386-nucleotide ribosomal RNA is filed under the name Telonemia sp. Its description in RNAcentral is "partial small subunit ribosomal RNA". It matches the Rfam family "Eukaryotic small subunit ribosomal RNA", at positions 582 to 975 of the family's 1831-position model. Lineage: Eukaryota; Telonemia. The record is from RNAcentral.
AUUCCAGCUCCAAUAGCGUAUAUUAAAGUUGUUGCAGUUAAAAAGCUCGUAGUUGGAUCUCAGGGUGAGCUCAGUUGGUCGGCCUAAUUGGUCAGAACUGGCUGACUCUCCCUUGUUUCUGAAUCCCGGUCGGAGUUAAUUCUUCGUUCGUGGACUCCAGAUCGUUUACCUUGAAAAAAUUAGAGUGUUCAAAGCGGGCGUUUGCUUGAAUACAUUAGCAUGGAAUAAUGGAAUAGGACCCUGGUUCUAUUUUGUUGGUUUUGAGGACCAGAGUAAUGAUUAAUAGGGAUAGUUGGGGGCAUUCAUAUUUAAUUGUCAGAGGUGAAAUUCUUGGAUUUAUGAAAGAUGAACUUCUGCGAAAGCAUUUGCCAAGGAUGUUUUCAUUG